GGGAUUGGGGAAUCAAGAUCGCUAACAAAAGUAUCAAUCAUAAAAUGUCAAUCCUUGGAGACUUUGCCAGAUUUGUCAGGAUGUGAGAAGUUACGAUAUGUAAGGGUAGUAACAUGUGACAAACUUACUCAACUUUGGGGACUUGAAAAGUUGGAUUUGACUCUUUUGGAAAUUUAUGGGUGCCAGCAUGUACCAGAAUUAUUUAAAACAUGCAACGGGAGAUAUGAAUAUGAAUAUGAAUGCUUUUGUAUUCCCGAGGUAAUUAAUUUGCAGUGAUAAUAAUGUGAUGAACUUUAUACCAAUAUUACAAGAGCAGGCUAGUCAUGUUUCCUUGACAGAGGUAAAUAAGCAGCAAACUACCAUUUUUCUUUGAGUUUCAUGACCUAUUUUUCAUCAUUAUCUUCUUUUGACAAUAAGGUUUUCCUUGACAGGGUUUUGUUCUUCCUAAGUUCCUAGACUUAAUAACUUGAAGGAAUGGUGGAGUUGGUCGUAGAAGCUGACAUGAUGCUUCAGCCAAGAUCAAAAUUUAGAUCCAAUGGUGCUUCCUCGUUCAUUAGAAGGCAUUGGUCAUUUGGUAAGAUUCUUCAUCCUUUAACUAGCAUGAGUGAAUAGAGUAAUACUUUUGUCAAGGAUAUAUCCUUUAAGAAUUAUUUGCUUGACACU
This 663-nucleotide long non-coding RNA is filed under the name Eucalyptus grandis. RNAcentral's name for it is "long non-coding RNA (EGRA_LNC000832)". Lineage: Eukaryota; Viridiplantae; Streptophyta; Magnoliopsida; Myrtales; Myrtaceae. The record is from RNAcentral.